GUAGGGAAUCUUGCGCAAUGGGCGAAAGUCUGACGCAGCCAUGCCGCGUGAAUGAUGAAGGUCUUAGGAUUGUAAAAUUCUUUCACCGGGGACGAUAAUGACGGUACCCGGAGAAGAAGCUCCGGCUAACUUCGUGCCAGCAGCCGCGGUAAUACGGAGGGGGCUAGCGUUGCUCGGAAUUACUGGGCGUAAAGGGCGCGUAGGCGGAUAUUUAAGUCGGGGGUGAAAGCCCGGGGCUCAACCUCGGAAUAGCCUUCGAUACUGGAUAUCUUGAGUACGGGAGAGGUGUGUGGAACACCGAGUGUAGAGGUGAAAUUCGUAGAUAUUCGGAAGAACACCAGUGGCGAAGGCGACUCACUGGCCCAAUACUGACGCUGAGGCGCGAAAGCGUGGGGAGCAAACAGGAUUAGAUACCCUAGUAGUCC
This 425-nucleotide ribosomal RNA is filed under the name uncultured bacterium. RNAcentral describes it as "partial 16S ribosomal RNA". It matches the Rfam family "Bacterial small subunit ribosomal RNA", at positions 354 to 796 of the family's 1533-position model. The record is from RNAcentral.